GCACGUAGUUAGCCGGUGCUUCUUCUGCAGGUACCGUCACUCACGCUUCGUCCCUGCUGAAAGAGGUUUACAACCCGAAGGCCGUCAUCCCUCACGCGGCGUCGCUGCAUCAGGCUUUCGCCCAUUGUGCAAUAUUCCCCA
RNAcentral lists this ribosomal RNA (141 nucleotides) under uncultured bacterium. RNAcentral's name for it is "partial 16S ribosomal RNA". The record is from RNAcentral.